GAUGAACGCUGACCGAAUGCUUAACACAUGCAAGUCUUUGGCGAAGCUGUGCUUGCACAGCCUAGCCAAGGCGGACGGGUGAGUAACGCGUAAGGAACUUGCCCUGCAGUCAGGGAUAACAGACGGAAACGACUGAUAAGACCUGGUAAAGUCAGGCGGACUCAUGUCCAGCCUGAUGAAAAGAGAUGCUGCAGGAGAGCCUUGCGUCCUAUUAGCUUGUUGGUGGGGUAACGGCCCACCAAGGCGAUGAUAGGUAGCCGGCCUGAGAGGGUGGACGGCCACAAGGGGACUGAGAUACGGCCCUUACUCCUACGGGAGGCAGCAGUGGGGAAUAUUGGACAAUGGGGGCAACCCUGAUCCAGCAAUUCUGUGUGCACGAUGAAGGUUUUCGGAGUGUAAAGUGCUUUCAGCAGGGAAGAAAAAAAUGACGGUACCUGCAGAAGAAGCGACGGCUAAAUACGUG
RNAcentral lists this ribosomal RNA (463 nucleotides) under uncultured bacterium. Its description in RNAcentral is "partial 16S ribosomal RNA". It matches the Rfam family "Bacterial small subunit ribosomal RNA", at positions 28 to 507 of the family's 1533-position model. The record is from RNAcentral.